ACGGAAGGCAGCAGUGGGGAAUAUUGGGCAAUGGGCGCAAGCCUGACCCAGCAACGCCGCGUGAAGGAUGAAGGUCUUCGGAUUGUAAACUUCUUUGAUUGGGGAAGAAUAAAUGACCUACCCAAAGAACAAGCCACGGCUAACUACGUGCCAGCAGCCGCGGUAAUACGUAGGUGGCAAGCGUUAUCCGGAUUUACUGGGUGUAAAGGGCGUGUAGGCGGCUUUGCAAGUCAGAUGUGAAAUUCCUGAGCUCAACUCGGGCGCUGCAUCUGAAACUGUAAAGCUUGAGUACUGGAGGGGAAAGCGGAAUUCCUAGUGUAGCGGUAAAAUGCGCAGAUAUUAGGAAGAACACCGGUGGCGAAGGCGGCUAUCUGGACAGUAACUGACGCUGAGGCGCGAAAGCGUGGGGAGCAAACAGGAUUAGAUACCCUGGUA
Molecule: ribosomal RNA, 435 nt
Filed under: uncultured Saccharofermentans sp.
Lineage: Bacteria; Bacillati; Bacillota; Clostridia; Eubacteriales; Oscillospiraceae
Description: partial 16S ribosomal RNA
Rfam family: Bacterial small subunit ribosomal RNA
Source: RNAcentral